RNAcentral lists this ribosomal RNA (478 nucleotides) under Pinoyscincus jagori jagori. RNAcentral describes it as "partial 16S ribosomal RNA". It matches the Rfam family "Bacterial large subunit ribosomal RNA", at positions 1922 to 2597 of the family's 2925-position model. The record is from RNAcentral. Lineage: Eukaryota; Metazoa; Chordata; Lepidosauria; Squamata; Scincidae.
UUUUAACGGCCGCGGUAUUCUAACCGUGCAAAGGUAGCGUAAUCACUUGUCUCCUAAAUAGAGACUAGUAUGAACGGCUAAAUGAGGACAAACCUGUCUCUUACAACCUAUCAGUGAAACUGAUCUCCCUGUCCAAAAGCUGGGAUACUAACAUAAGACGAGAAGACCCUGUGGAGCUUAAAACUCACUACUAACAAACUAACAUAGCACAUACUAGUAGGACUUUUAAGUUGGGGCGACUUCGGAACAAAACAGAACUUCCGAGCACAGAACCACUAAUUCUAACCAAGGCCAACAGGCCAAAGAAAAAAUUGACCCAGUAACACUGAUCAACGAACCAAGUUACCCCAGGGAUAACAGCGCUAUCUUCUUCAAGAGUCCAUAUCGACAAGAAGGUUUACGACCUCGAUGUUGGAUCAGGACAUCCAAAUGGUGCAGCCGCUAUUAAGGGUUCGUUUGUUCAACGAUUAACAGUCCU